Molecule: transfer RNA, 198 nt
Filed under: Pneumocystis jirovecii
Lineage: Eukaryota; Fungi; Ascomycota; Pneumocystomycetes; Pneumocystales; Pneumocystaceae
Description: tRNA-Pseudo(TAA)
Source: RNAcentral
UUAAUAUUAUAUUAAUUUCAAAUAAUGUAUUUUAAAUGUAUAUAUAUUAAUAUAUGUAUUAAAGAACUAUAUUACAUUGAUAUUAAUAAAAAAAAUCUAAAACAUCUAUAAUAUUUUUAUUUAAUUUCAAAAAUAAAAUAAAUAUUUUUAAAUAUAAAAAAAUUAAUAUCAAUUAUAGAAAAGAAUCUAAAUAUUAAA